AGAAAUUUAGGUUAACACAGACCAAGAGCCUUCAAAGCCCUCAGCAAGUCACAGCACUUAAUUUCUG
This is a non-coding RNA of Pongo abelii (Sumatran orangutan), 67 nucleotides long. The record is from Ensembl. NCBI's taxonomy places the organism in Eukaryota, Metazoa, Chordata, Mammalia, Primates, Hominidae.